This 367-nucleotide ribosomal RNA is filed under the name uncultured Acetobacter sp. RNAcentral describes it as "bacterial SSU rRNA". It matches the Rfam family "Bacterial small subunit ribosomal RNA", at positions 355 to 736 of the family's 1533-position model. Lineage: Bacteria; Pseudomonadati; Pseudomonadota; Alphaproteobacteria; Acetobacterales; Acetobacteraceae. The record is from RNAcentral.
UGGGGAAUAUUGGACAAUGGGGGCAACCCUGAUCCAGCAAUGCCGCGUGUGUGAAGAAGGUCUUCGGAUUGUAAAGCACUUUCGACGGGGACGAUGAUGACGGUACCCKUAGAAGAAGCCCCGGCUAACUUCGUGCCAGCAGCCGCGGUAAUACGAAGGGGGCUAGCGUUGCUCGGAAUGACUGGGCGUAAAGGGCGUGUAGGCGGUUUGUACAGUCAGAUGUGAAAUCCCCGGGCUUAACCUGGGAGCUGCAUUUGAUACGUGCAGACUAGAGUGUGAGAGAGGGUUGUGGAAUUCCCAGUGUAGAGGUGAAAUUCGUAGAUAUUGGGAAGAACCACCCGGUGGCGAAGGCGGCAACCCUGGCUCC